UACAGAGGUCCCAAGCGUUGUUCGGAUUCACUGGGCGUAAAGGGUGCGUAGGUGGUGAGGUAAGUCGGAUGUGAAAGCUCGGAGCUCAACUCCGAAAUGGCAUUGGAAACUACCUUGCUCGAGGGUUGGAGGGGGGACUGGAAUGCUUGGUGUAGCAGUGAAAUGCGUAGAUAUCAAGCGGAACACCAGUGGCGAAGGCGAGUCUCUGGACAUUUCCUGACGCUGAGGCACGAAAGCCAGGGGAGCAAACGGG
RNAcentral lists this ribosomal RNA (253 nucleotides) under uncultured bacterium. Its description in RNAcentral is "partial 16S ribosomal RNA". It matches the Rfam family "Bacterial small subunit ribosomal RNA", at positions 524 to 776 of the family's 1533-position model. The record is from RNAcentral.